GAAACUCUAUCUGUCUGGGCACAGAUGUCUGCCUCCCUGGCAGGCUCCUGUUCACCCUGCUGUGGCCUACCAUUCUCAGGAUGCAGAGGCAAAGGGUGGUGGAUUUCUGUAGAUGACUGUUUUAAAACAGCGAGAGCAGGAGGGCUCUGUGCUGCUCUCUGGAACUUUCUGCAGCUAAGGAGGACAGCAUCGGGCAGACGAAACUGACUGUUUGCAUCUAUGAAGAACUAAGUUAAAGACAAAGUUUCCAUGUGAUAGCACCCUUGAAGAAAGAAGAGAGAGAACCAGAGCUCGGGGCUUCCCAUGCCCAGGUCAUUGGUACCAUGACUCUGACUACAGCUCCUGGACACAGAGAAAGAGGUAGGAGAGAGGUAUGAGAAGGACCCAGGGCUUUACAGUCAAGGCAGGGCUUGAGACAUUCUCGGAAGGAUGGGGACAGGCGAGCUACUGUACACAGCAAAUGAGAUGAAAGGCAAGAAGAUUCCAGGAAUGAACACACAGAGUUUCUGAAAUGCCCCGGCGCAAGGGCCCACAGUGGGGCUCAGAGGAGGGGGAGAUGAAAUGGUCCCUGAAUGAAGCCCUUCCUCUGUGAUCCAGAAACCUCUGCUGGCCUUCACC
This 618-nucleotide long non-coding RNA is filed under the name Mus spretus (western wild mouse). RNAcentral's name for it is "lncRNA (ENSMSPG00010020696.1)". Lineage: Eukaryota; Metazoa; Chordata; Mammalia; Rodentia; Muridae. The record is from RNAcentral.